RNAcentral lists this ribosomal RNA (468 nucleotides) under uncultured bacterium. Its description in RNAcentral is "partial 16S ribosomal RNA". It matches the Rfam family "Bacterial small subunit ribosomal RNA", at positions 28 to 507 of the family's 1533-position model. The record is from RNAcentral.
GACGAACGCUGGCGGCGUGCUUAACACAUGCAAGUCGAACGGAAAGGCCCUGCUUUUGUGGGGUGCUCGAGUGGCGAACGGGUGAGUAACACGUGAGUAACCUGCCCUUGACUUUGGGAUAACUUCAGGAAACUGGGGCUAAUACCGGAUAGGAGCUACUGCUGCAUGGUGGGGGUUGGAAAGUUUCGGCGGUUGGGGAUGGACUCGCGGCUUAUCAGCUUGUUGGUGGGGUAGUGGCUUACCAAGGCUUUGACGGGUAGCCGGCCUGAGAGGGUGACCGGCCACAUUGGGACUGAGAUACGGCCCAGACUCCUACGGGAGGCAGCAGUGGGGAAUAUUGCACAAUGGGCGGAAGCCUGAUGCAGCAACGCCGCGUGCGGGAUGACGGCCUUCGGGUUGUAAACCGCUUUCACCUGUGACGAAGCGUGAGUGACGGUAAUGGGUAAAGAAGCACCGGCUAACUACGUG